CAGAAUGGUGCAUGGAUUGCUACAUUGACAUGCUCAUUACGCAUUGACAAGCUCAUGGCUGCUAAUACCCCAUAGGCUGAGGAGCAAAAGGAGGAAUUCGCUAGAGGGGAGGCUCACGUCUGAUUUAGCUAGUUAGUGAGGCAAUAGCUUACCAAGGUGAUGAUCAGUAGCUUGUCCGAGAGGAUGAUCAGCCACACUGGGACUGAGACACGGCCCAGACUCUUAUGGGAGGCAGCAAUGGGGAAUUUUUCGCAAUGGGUGAAAGCAACAUGGAGCAAUGUUGCGUGGAUGUAGAGGGCAUACGGGUCAUGAACUUCUUUUCCAGGAUAAGAAGCAAUAACGGUAACUGGGGAAUAAGCAUCGGCUAACUCUAUGCCAGCAGUCGUGGUAAUACAAAGGAUGCAAGCGUUAUCUAGAAUGAUUGGGCGUAAAGCGUCUGUAGGUGGCUUUUUAAGUCCACCGUCAAAUCCCAGGGCUCAACCCUAGAUAGGCAGUGGAAACUACCAAGCUAGAGUACGGUAGGGGCAGAGGGAAUUUCUGGUGGAGCGGUGAAAUGAGUAGAUAUCAUAAAGAACACCAACGAUGAAAGCACUCUGCUAGCCCAACACUGACACUUAGAGACGAAAGCUAGGGGAGCAAAUAGGAUUAGAUACCCCUGUAGGCCUAACCAUAAAAGAUGGAUACUAGGCGUUGUGCUUAUCGACUCGUGCAGUGCUGUAGCUAACGCGUUAAGUAUCCUGCU
RNAcentral lists this ribosomal RNA (742 nucleotides) under Prunus dulcis (almond). RNAcentral's name for it is "rRNA SSU_rRNA_archaea". It matches the Rfam family "Bacterial small subunit ribosomal RNA", at positions 134 to 873 of the family's 1533-position model. Lineage: Eukaryota; Viridiplantae; Streptophyta; Magnoliopsida; Rosales; Rosaceae. The record is from RNAcentral.